AUCUACGGCCACAGAACUGAGAAACCGCCGAACCCCGUCUGCUCUUCGAAGCUCUAAGCUCAGUAUCGCCCGAUUAGUAUCAUCGUGGGGGACCAGGUGGGAAUCCUGGGAGCUGUAGUUU
Molecule: ribosomal RNA, 121 nt
Organism: Kwoniella heveanensis BCC8398
Lineage: Eukaryota; Fungi; Basidiomycota; Tremellomycetes; Tremellales; Cryptococcaceae
Source: Rfam